Molecule: ribosomal RNA, 256 nt
Filed under: uncultured bacterium
Lineage: Bacteria
Description: partial 16S ribosomal RNA
Rfam family: Bacterial small subunit ribosomal RNA
Source: RNAcentral
UAAUACGAAGGGGGCUAGCGUUGUUCGGAAUUACUGGGCGUAAAGCGUAUGCAGGCGGAUCGUUAAGUCGGGGGUGAAAUCCCGAGGCUCAACCUCGGAACUGCCUUCGAUACUGGCGAUCUUGAGUCCGGGAGAGGUGAGUGGAACUCCGAGUGUAGAGGUGAAAUUCGUAGAUAUUCGGAAGAACACCAGUGGCGAAGGCGGCUCACUGGCCCGGUACUGACGCUGAGAUACGAAAGCGUGGGGAGCAAACAGG